Long non-coding RNA from Stegodyphus dumicola, 1108 nucleotides. Lineage: Eukaryota; Metazoa; Arthropoda; Arachnida; Araneae; Eresidae. The record is from RefSeq and is a predicted model, not a curated record.
GUGCAUCGGCCAUCUUAAGGGACACGUUGCAUUGAUGCUUGAAAAUUCUGCACGCUGUCGAUCAGGUAAUAAACAAUCUAAAUCUUGCAUUUUGUUUCUGUAUUAAUGCCGCUCAUCUGUAUUUUGUGAAAUUUGUAAAAACUGACUGACAGCGAAAAUUUGCAGCUCUCGGAUGGCGAAAUUUUAGGGUGUGUGUACGGAUGUGUUGGUGUGUGCAUGAGUGUGGGGGAGGGAGGAAAGGUUUUUCGUGAGCAGCUGGUGACGCAGGAAGAAAAGUUGAGUGUUUGUUAGCUUCAUUUGUACGCAUGCUUUAGUGCGUUCUUCGCGGCAUUGUGCGUAACUAUUUUCGAACAAGUGCAUAAUCGGAAUACGAUGCGGUGUGUGGGAAAUAUUUCAUCAGGACAUCCUAUGUGUCAUGUCGAAUAUCAGAAUUUUUGAAUCAUAUGCAUUGUCAAGAAAAAGCACUAGGAUUAUAUUUGUGAUUGAUACAUCGUGUGUGCUAUGGAUUACUUGUGAAUUGGAUAAUUUCGUGGAAAAAAAAUAGUGCCUUUGUUUGAAGUGAUUUAAUAAGGAUACUUAUUAAUUUAAUAAGGAUUUUCUCAUUUAUUUUCUUCAUUUCAACGCUGUAAAUUUGGAAAAAUUAAAUUAAAGGAGUACAAAACGUACGAAAAACUUUGUUUUGUUUCCAAUGGAGGAUACUAGCCAUUAAACUCCUUGGCCACUACUAAGGCCAGAAGUGGUGGUCUGUUGAUUAUGGAGGCACUUAAUAGGUGGGCCACCUUUGCCUCCUGUGAAGGGACAGACAGUUUACAUCCAUGCCUUCUGCAGGAUUCGAAUCCAGUUCCUUUGGUAAGGCAGACAAAGUCACCAACCACUUUGCCAGCUGAGCGGCAAAGUGCAUAGAACAAUGGUAUACAUUUUAAUUAGCGAAAUGUAACAUCGUCUUGUUUUGGGGGAAAGAAAUUUAUCUGGUGUGAUACGCGUUAAACAUACUCUAUGCUACUAGCAAUCAGAGCAUUAAUAUUUAGCAGCACAAGUAAAUAGUCUGUAAUUGAAUAAUUAUAUUAAAAAUUUUAAAAUUGGAAUAUAACGUUUACAAACCACUCAG